UACAGAGGGUGCGAGCGUUAAUCGGAAUUACUGGGCGUAAAGCGCACGUAGGCGGCUUGGUAUGUCGGGUGUGAAAUCCCCGGGCUCAACCUGGGAACUGCAUCCGAAACUGCCUUGCUCGAGUAUGGGAGAGGGAAGUGGAAUUUCCGGUGUAGCGGUGAAAUGCGUAGAUAUCGGAAGGAACAUCAGUGGCGAAAGCGGCUUCCUGGACCAGAACUGACGAUCAGGCACGAAAGCGUGGGGAGCAAACAGG
Molecule: ribosomal RNA, 253 nt
Filed under: uncultured bacterium
Lineage: Bacteria
Description: partial 16S ribosomal RNA
Rfam family: Bacterial small subunit ribosomal RNA
Source: RNAcentral